Molecule: long non-coding RNA, 1514 nt
Filed under: Gallus gallus (chicken)
Lineage: Eukaryota; Metazoa; Chordata; Aves; Galliformes; Phasianidae
Source: RNAcentral
AGCCUGUAUUGCUGAUGGAAGUAGUUUCAAUUAUGUUGCCUAAAGUGAAGAGUACUUAAGAACAAAUCACUCCCUAGACCACUGUAAGGACACCACUGAUAAAGCACUAGUAGAACAAAUUAAUUUCACUUUUGUUAAAAUGGUUGCAUGAGCUCAUUCCCUAUGUUUAUAUUUGAAGCUAAACCAUUGCUGCCUAGCUGGCUUGUGACUAGUCAAAAUAAGAUUGCAGGGUACCACGGCGGCGGAUAUCACAUGUCCAGCAAUGGAAACCACCUCCCAGUGAAUUGGCAUGGCGAAUAUUCACUUUAAUUGUAGAAAUGCCCAAAUUUUCAAACAUCUUCUGAAUUGAAGUCUCAUUGGCAUCAACCAUCACACGCUUCUCAUCCAGCAUUAGGACAUUCAUGGAAAGCCAUUUAGAAGACAUCCACAGUGGGUGAUCAUCAGGAAUGAGUGGCACUGGUGGGUGAAUCACUGUCCAGCCUGCUUUCUUGAAGAGCUCAAUCUGAUGGCAGGGACGGUCUGGGUUGGACAACACAAGACCAGGUCCAAUGAUAUUAAAUGUGGCAUCAAUGUGCAUAGGGUUUGGAUCCUUAAAGGAUAUUACAUGCACUCGGUAGUCAGGUGCAAGAUGUCUCCUCAUCCAUUCAAUGCCCAUGUAAUUUGUAACCUGACUCCUUUGCACAAAGAUAUCUCUUCCAGCUCUAAUGAAAUCAGCAGCAUCAAAACAUGGCUCAAAUUCAGUAGUUACAAAUUUUCCCUGAGCAGCCAGUUUAUGUCUGUCUUCAACAGAGCGGAUAGGAUAAUCCUGAUCAUAGAGCUCAUCUGCCAUUGUGGGUUUGGGGGCAGUUGUCCACUUAGCACCAUUGUUGAAGUAAUCUUUAAUUAUUCGUCUGUAUGCUCUGUACUCAAAGAAACGAGCACGCCAAGCCAUAGGCGCUUCAAUGAUUUCAUUUCCUACCACCAGCAGGAUGUCUCUUGGCAUGGCAGCAUACAUACCUGUAGAUUCAAAAUCAGGAGUUCUAUACUUCACAGACCAGUCAAUUGGAUCAGGCCUCUUGACGAUUACACCUUCUUUUUUCAAAAUAUUGCACAUCUCUUCAAUUUCAGCAAUAGCUUUUUUCACGUGGUCUUUGGGGAAGCUUUCACCUCCAAAUUUCUGAUAGAAUCCCCAAUACUUUUCAUAUGUAUUGGCCUUAACCUCCACAGAAAAAGGAGGAACACAGGCAUUUUCAGCUCUUCCCACAAUGACCUCUUCCAGGGGGUCCCACUCGUUGUAGGAGCAGACGGGGCACUCCUUGGGCGCGGGGCUUUGGGCCUUGUCCUCAGCAGCACAGCGGUUCUGGGACGCCGCAGCCGCCUGGGUGCUCUGCAGAGAUCGCUGCACCCAUCCCGUGAAGGCCCUUCCGAGCCGCGAGCCGAUGAAAUGCGCCGCUUCGGCUCCCCGGCUCCCCCCGCGCAAACACCGCACGCGCAACAUCUCUGCGGACGCCGGCAACCUCGCGCCUCCCGGCCCG